RNAcentral lists this ribosomal RNA (508 nucleotides) under uncultured bacterium. RNAcentral describes it as "bacterial SSU rRNA". It matches the Rfam family "Bacterial small subunit ribosomal RNA", at positions 29 to 513 of the family's 1533-position model. The record is from RNAcentral.
AACGAACGCUGGCGGCGUGGAUAAGACAUGCAAGUCGAACGGGAACUCUUUUGGUAGCAAUACUAAAAGAGUUCUAGUGGCGAACGGGUGCGUAACACGUGGGCAAUCUGCCGAGAAGUGGGGGAUAGCUCGCCGAAAGGCGAAUUAAUACCGCAUGUGAUGAGAGUAGACAUCUAUUCGAAAUCAAGGCCGGGGCAACCUGGCGCUUUUUGUAGGAGCCCGCGGCCUAUCAGCUUGUUGGUGAGGUAACGGCUCACCAAGGCUUUGACGGGUAGCUGGUCUGAGAGGACGACCAGUCACACUGGAACUGAGACACGGUCCAGACACCUACGGGUGGCAGCAGUCGAGAAUUUUUCUCAAUGGGGGAAACCCUGAAGGAGCGACGCCGCGUGGAGGAUGAAGGUCUUCGGGUUGUAAACUCCUGUCAUUUGAGAACAAGUGGCCGAACGUAACUGCUUCGGCCUUGAUAGUAUCAGAAGAGGAAGGGACGGCUAACUCUGUGCCAGCA